GCGUUCGAUUUGGCAACACAUGCACUAAAAUUGGAACGACACAGAGAAGAUUAGCAUUGUCCCUGUGCAAGGAUGACAUGCAAAUUCAUGAAGUGUUCAAUUUAAAA
Molecule: small nuclear RNA, 107 nt
Organism: Pongo pygmaeus (Bornean orangutan)
Lineage: Eukaryota; Metazoa; Chordata; Mammalia; Primates; Hominidae
Source: RefSeq, a predicted model, not a curated record